Gasterosteus aculeatus aculeatus (three-spined stickleback) is the source of this 3369-nucleotide long non-coding RNA. The record is from Ensembl. NCBI's taxonomy places the organism in Eukaryota, Metazoa, Chordata, Actinopteri, Perciformes, Gasterosteidae.
CACAUUUUUGUCCAUGGCACAUUUGCAAAGAUCUGAUCACAGAGCGGCAGUGUCUUUAAUCCGGCUCCACGAGCUUUGAAGUGAGAGAAUCUAAACGUGACGUCAAUGCCUAGUACUGACGCAGCCCUUCAACAACAAAAAAAAAGCAGUUAUUUUUUUUUUACCUCCUCUCGUCGGUAAAGCUUGAUUACUACAUUUCACAUCGCUCCGUCGACUGAAAGAACAAAAUGAAAAUCAGCGUCGGGUAAUCCGCCUUCGUCAGUAUUUGGAGCUAUUUCGCGUUCAUGAGUUCCAGCUGACACUGGGACGCAGAGCUUCGGAAGAGGGCGACAAGACAUCAAAUAUCGUCGAUGAUAUUGGCAGCGGCGACGAGUUCCAGAUUUUUGCCGUAGAGAGUGAAAGAAGUUUAAGGAUGAGAAUGAGGUGCUGCGCUGUUGGAAGGGACAUUGAGUUUAAAAAAAUCACUGCAAUGAUGCAACGGAGAGGGGUUCUUGUGCAGAGUUGGAAAGCCUGAAUUAAUCGGCAUGACAUGCACUUCACGUAGUGUUCUUAAGCGAUGUCUUUCGUGAGUGUUUUUUUUUCCUACCGCGCACUGUGACCUAAAAAUAGCAUCAUAGUUUGGGUCGUGCGCCAUAAAUAGACAGAUGGGUAUCACUUGUAUAAAAGGGAGGCGAUCCUGAGCUGGACGUGCCACUCUCGAACGACGACGUGCCCGUACCAUGGAGAGAAACAAUGAAAAGAGGAACAGGAGCAAAUAUGGAGAAGAGAACCGCACAUAGCGAGCGAGACAACGACGGACCGACCGACCUUCCUCCACCUCGUCCUCUUCCCUAACCCGAGACAGGACUUGAUUGUGAGAGGAGAGGGGGAACUAACACGCAGGAGGAGGCAGUGGGACAAACUGGUUCGACUGGGACACACCCGGCACACAGUCAUCAAAUCCCAGUGUGGGAAGGUAAAAGGCCGUGACCUUUGUUUGCUUGAGUAUGAGUGGUUCCGGUUCCGGUGAACAUAUAUGAACUUAAUCAAGAUUAAAACAAAACACACAAUAUUUCUGAACUGUUCUGAUGCGAAAUUGAUGAAAAAACAUUUUUUGGGGGAGGGGGAAACUGAAACUGAAACUGAAACGUAAAAAAGUAGAGUUUUAUUUUUUAUUGAUACAGUUAAACCAUUUAAUUUGUUAAAAAGAUCAACACGCUUAUGAUGAUUUGCAGAAAGUGUCGUGCAAUGUUUUUGGAAGAGGGGCAUCAGGUUUAUGAUCCUUUUUGAGAAAUGUGGUGUGUGUCAAAAACUGUGAAUCAAAUGGAGAAAGUUACAUUACAUCUAGAUUUGAUGCAGCAUAGACGCCAAUAAAAAAACGUCCCAACAUUUUAGCAAAUAUUUGUAGUUUAAACUAUUUUCAGAUAAUUAGGAGUUAUUUUUCUGUUAUAUAUUCUGUGUUAAAGAUGGGGUUUUAAUUAGUGUUUUACCAACUUUAUUAUCUCAAGAGUGUGACUGACUGUCUCACUGUGUUUGUAUGGGUCUGAUUCUGUUUUUGAGCAUCUACGCACAGAUGUGAAUUAGUCUAUAAUAUAAUAUAAUGGUGGUGUGUGUUUGUUUAAGUCUGAAAUAUCUAGAUGCAUUUAAAGUAGGGCUGUCAAUAGAUUUAAAAAACACUGUUGUUUAAUUGUUAAUUAAACACAAAACUACACACAUUUGGAGGCAGAAUUCCACCUGGUGGAACAUGUUAAACUAGGGACUCUGUCCACUUUGCUCUCAACUCUCAUCAUUUAACAGGUGUGUUUGAAGUGCCAAAAAUCUCAAAACCUUUUUCUUUUAGGGACACAGUGGUGGUCCUCUGCAGACUGUGUGCCGCGCAGGGUAACGUUAGAUGUUGAGAUGGAAGUAGCCUAGCAGCUAGCUUAACUUGCUCGUUAACUACGUUGAAAUAUUUUGUUGCAUUCAUCUAGGCCACAUUAAUCGCAGCCCUAAUUUAAAGACAUGCAUGCACACACAUGUACACACACACGUGUACUGUACAUGCAACCGCACACAUGAAUCCUGUGAGUUACAUUUCGAUAAUGUAUAAGUCAAAUUGGUAAAAACAUUUUUUGAGAAGGAAAAACAGUUCACAGUAAAUAAAGUACGUACGUCAAUAGUGACACACACACCUGCAGGCUGGAAAUGUGUGUGUCCAAUUACCAUCCUCAAAAGGUCUACUUGAGAGAAGGAUAUUCAAACAUACAACAUGUACUAAAGCACCGAAAGAAACGUUUGUAAUUUGAUUCUAAUUUAUUAAUGAAGUCAGUAACUUUAUUUUGUACAUGUUUAAUGUUUAGUUUUCUUUCUAACAAAAAAAACAGAUUAUUUUAUGUAAAACUUAUUUUGCUCUAUUUGUGUUGUAUAAAAACAAACUUUUUUGUUAUGAAUACAUUUGAAAAGUGUGUGUGUGUGUGUGUGUGUGUGUGUGUGUGUGUGUGUGUGUGUGUGUGUGUGUGUCUGUUCCCGCAGUAGCGUAUUAAUAGUUUGCGACCGCGUGUUUGUGUGCAUAGUGGGUUUAAUGUACCGUCACACAGUUUUCUAAUGUCUCUUUCCAUGUUUCUUUCAAGAUAAAAAGGAGAAAAGGACAACAAGAGUGCAGCCUCUAAACUGUCGGACUGCGAGGAAACUACCGACAGGGGGACUCACAAAACGUCCGAUAGUAGUUGGUGUGAGUGUGUAUGAAUGUAGUGAAUUGAAUAUUGUUGGCAAAUAUUUGUGUUAAAAAAGUAGCUCCAAAUGGGAGACGGCAAGAUGAUACGCGUUUAUUAAAUUGUACUUGUAUAUAUAAUAUUAAAAGUGCAACCAGUGCUGGAAAAAGUUUAUUUAUUAAGAUUAUUUAGUGACAGACUGCAUUGUUGUAAAUACAUUUACAUACAAACAUCAUCAUAGAUGCUCCGAGAUUUGUGUAAUUAAUUUCACCCGGUUUGCAAUUGUUAAACAACAGCUGCUCCUUCCUCUCCCUCGGUCACGUUGCCUUCGAUCCUCUCCACUUGUGUCAAAAAAUGCGAGCAGCUGGACGACGGCCGUCCGCGCGUGGACACAUUUUUAUACUCUGGUCCCUCUGCUGAGCACACGACAGGCUUUUGUUUGUGCCAGAGAGCAUCCGUGUGUCCCAAUUUUAUGUUUAGUUUGUCUCAGUAUGAGAGCGAGAGUUGCGUUUGUGUGUGUGGGGGGGGGGGGGAUCUCCUUCUGGUUCGUCCUGCUGAGGAGAAAUGAGGUCGAUGUGAAACAGCCUGCCUGGCUCAUUUAUGUGCAUAAAGAUGUUAAACAAGUUCAUUAAAGCUUUGGGAAAAUCCACAUGCCUGUCAAAGUGUUUGUGUUACGCACACGUCACAUAUCACGAUGCGG